This 226-nucleotide long non-coding RNA is filed under the name Malus domestica (apple). RNAcentral's name for it is "long non-coding RNA (MDOM_LNC001782)". Lineage: Eukaryota; Viridiplantae; Streptophyta; Magnoliopsida; Rosales; Rosaceae. The record is from RNAcentral.
AUGAGCCCGAGAAUUAUCAUAGAGACUCCACAAGGAAAAUACCGCACCAAUCUUUCAUAAUUUUGCAAUCGUUGGCAAAGAAGGCCGACUAUGAGUCCCGUUCAACAAAUGUUGACUUCCCUUCUCAUAGUCUUUUGCCGAGUGCACAAACCACAAACACUACCACCUCAUAUUUGAAACAAUCGUUGCUCUAGAAUUUGAUUGAACAAACCACAACCAUGAUCGC